Molecule: unclassified non-coding RNA, 2827 nt
Filed under: Hevea brasiliensis (rubber tree)
Lineage: Eukaryota; Viridiplantae; Streptophyta; Magnoliopsida; Malpighiales; Euphorbiaceae
Source: RNAcentral
GCCAUGCGUAGGCCCAUCACUCUUUCCUUCUUCGAUCUCUCCAAAGCUCCUCACUUGCUGUACCUCUACGCCGGUGUCUACACAUAGAAAUGAAACCCUAGAUCUCCAAAAUUGAUAGAUUUGAAGCUCUGUCUCGAAGUACAUAGAAAUCCCAGGUAAUAACUCAGUAGUUUCUGUAAACUCUGUAAUUUCAUUCAUUAAUUUGGCUGAUAAGAGCACAAAAAGAAAUAAGCAUCUAGAUCUUGUGUGUGUGCGUCCUUCCUCUGUUUGGGUUCAAAAGAAUGAAGAAAAAGCCUAUCUUUAUUAGAAACAGUAGAAAUCUUUGACUUCAGAUGGACCUUAGUGAUUCUCUUUGCUAUUUGGUCUUUGUUAAUGGCUUCUGAGAAGAUUAAAGAAAGGAAAGAAAUAAAAUUUUGAUAUUGUGUUUUGUUGUUUUUCUUAACUGUGCAUGCACUUCUACAUAUUCAUGCACAUUGGUGUUUUGUGCUAUAGAAAUUUGAAGAAAGUAAGAAUUGAUUAGAGCUUUUGAUUAUUUGAUUCCAUAAGAGGAUUUUGAAGGGGGAAACAGAAACCUUGAGGAUUCAAAAGGAUAUAAUAGAUUGAGCAUUUUUUUAAACAUUUCUUCAAAAUGCAACAAUGUUGGGGGGUCUAGUAUUCAUAUCGUUGCUCAUUCAUGUUUUGUUGCUUGUGAGCAGUGUUGGGGCUGUGUUUGCUUUACUAGGAAGAUAGGAUUAAAAUGGAUGAUGAGUUCUGAAAUCUGAAAAUAUAUGAUUUCCAUCAUUAUCUCUUUCUUGAAAUUGGAAAUUUUGUUCUAGCUAAAUUGAUUGUUCAGGCUGAAUAACAGCUUACAAGUUCUUGUUAUUUUGAAUUAUCAACUAUGAAAAAAUCAAAUUUGCUCCUUUUUUUGUUUUCUUGUGAAAUCAUGCCAUAUAACCUUAUCCUGCAAUUGAUUUUAUUUUUAUUAAUUCUCUUUCCAUUUUUUGAAUACAUGUACUUGCCAUGUUUGAUUGAAAUCCAUGUAAGAAUGGGAAAAAGUAUGAAUCAAGGAUCAACUGAGCCUAAUAUAGUCUACUAGCUAAGUGUAGUGGUUCUUUAAAUUUUGUGGCAAUGUAAUGGAACUGCACUUUGUUCUAUGAUUGGUGCAACAUGACGGUCUUGAUUGAGAAGUCAUUUAUUUCCUUCUAGAUUGCCUUCUUUCAGAAUUUUCCCAAAUGGCUGAUAGCAAUGCGUCUUUUGGUUCCCCUGAAGAAACUGUCAACCCUAGUUCGGAUGGAAAUGCACCUUCUGAGAUUGAGAGUGACCUUGCACUUGAUACAUUAGCCAGAAAGGUUCAAGAAUCUCUUACUCUCGGAAAGAGACAUAAAUUUUGGGAAACUCAACCAGUUGGGCAAUUCAAGGAUAUUGGGGACACCAGUUUGCCUGAAGGCCCCAUUGAACCUCCAACACCUUUGUCUGAGGUAAAACAGGAACCCUACAACCUUCCCAACCUCUAUGAAUGGGUUACUUGUGAUAUUGACUCUGAUGAAAUGUGUACUGAGGUCUACAAUCUUCUGACUAAUAACUACGUUGAGGAUGAUGAGAAUAUGUUCAGAUUUAAGUAUUCAAAGGAGUUUCUUCGCUGGGCUCUUCGCCCUCCAGGCUACUUCAAGAGCUGGCACAUUGGGGUCCGUGUCAAAAGUUCAAAGAAGUUGGUUGCUUUUAUCACGGGUGUUCCUGCAAGAAUCCGAGUUCGUGAUGACAUUGUUAUCAUGGCAGAAAUAAAUUUCUUGUGUGUUCAUAAGAAGCUAAGAUCAAAAAGACUUGCUCCUGUCAUGAUCAAGGAGGUGACAAGGAGAGUUCACUUGGAGAACAUCUGGCAAGCAGCUUAUACUGCUGGAGUGGUUCUUCCAACACCAAUAUCCACUUGCCAAUAUUGGCAUAGAUCUUUGAAUCCAAAGAAGCUGAUUGAUGUUGGUUUUUCUAGGCUUGGUGCAAGGAUGACUAUGAGUCGAACAAUCAAGCUUUACAAGUUACCAGAGUCAACUGCUACCCCAGGAUUUAGAAAGAUGGAGUUCCAUGAUGUUCCUGCAAUUACUAGGCUAAUUAGGAAUUAUAUGAGCCAGUUUGCAGCUGCGCCUGAUUUUGAUGAAAAUGAUGUGGAGCAUUGGCUUCUGCCAAAAGAAGAUGUUGUGGACAGUUAUCUGGUUGAAAGUCCAGAGACUCAUGAGAUCACUGAUUUCUGCAGCUUUUACACGCUUCCUUCCUCCAUCCUUGGCAACCAGAAUUAUUCAGCUCUGAAGGCAGCAUAUUCUUAUUACAAUAUUUCAACUAAGACUCCUUUGCUCCAGUUGAUGAAUGAUGCUCUAAUUGUUGCAAAACGCAAAGACUAUGAUGUGUUUAAUGCACUAGAUGUCAUGCACAAUGAGUCUUUCUUGAAGGAUCUGAAAUUUGGGCCUGGCGAUGGGAAACUGCACUACUAUCUUUACAACUAUAGGAUUAGACAAACAUUGAAGCCUGCAGAACUUGGGCUUGUGCUCCUAUAGUCUGGACUCAGGAAUUUUGAUUGCUCCGCGGACCAAUUGAAGGUUCCUUUUUCUUUACAAUUUUGUUCUGGUAAACCUUGCUGAUUAGUUUGUUUGUAUGCUUGUAUUAACUGUGACAAUCUGAAUUUAGAUUGUAGGUUUCAUUGAGCUAUUUAAACAAACAAAUUUUUGUCAGUUUUAUUGUGAGAUUUAUAGGCAUUGUAACAAAUUGUCAGGACUGAGUCUGGAAUAUGCUUAUGUCACUUGCUGGGCUGCUUCAUUAUUUUUGUUUUUCUAUGCUUGUUUCUUCUGUUGUCUACUAUAAU